This 843-nucleotide ribosomal RNA is filed under the name Aquimarina amphilecti. Its description in RNAcentral is "bacterial SSU rRNA". It matches the Rfam family "Bacterial small subunit ribosomal RNA", at positions 28 to 869 of the family's 1533-position model. The record is from RNAcentral. Lineage: Bacteria; Pseudomonadati; Bacteroidota; Flavobacteriia; Flavobacteriales; Flavobacteriaceae.
GAUGAACGCUAGCGGCAGGCUUAACACAUGCAAGUCGAGGGGUAACAUAGUUGCUUGCAACUGAUGACGACCGGCGCACGGGUGCGUAACGCGUAUAGAACCUACCUUUUAGUAAGGGAUAGCCCAGAGAAAUUUGGAUUAAUACCUUAUAGUAUCAAAAAGCAGCAUUGCUUAUUGAUUAAAGAUUUAUUGCUAAAAGAUGGCUAUGCGUUCUAUUAGUUAGUUGGUAAGGUAACGGCUUACCAAGACAUCGAUAGAUAGGGGCCCUGAGAGGGGGAUCCCCCACACUGGUACUGAGACACGGACCAGACUCCUACGGGAGGCAGCAGUGAGGAAUAUUGGACAAUGGAGGCAACUCUGAUCCAGCCAUGCCGCGUGUAGGAAGACUGCCCUAUGGGUUGUAAACUACUUUUAUAGAGGAAGAAACCCCGAUAUGUAUAUCGGUUUGACGGUACUCUACGAAUAAGGAUCGGCUAACUCCGUGCCAGCAGCCGCGGUAAUACGGAGGAUCCAAGCGUUAUCCGGAAUCAUUGGGUUUAAAGGGUCCGUAGGCGGGUCUGUAAGUCAGUGGUGAAAGUUUUCGGCUCAACCGGAAAAUUGCCAUUGAUACUGCAGGUCUUGAAUCAUUAUGAAGUGGUUAGAAUAAGUAGUGUAGCGGUGAAAUGCAUAGAUAUUACUUAGAAUACCGAUUGCGAAGGCAGAUCACUAAUAAUGUAUUGACGCUAAGGGACGAAAGCGUGGGUAGCGAACAGGAUUAGAUACCCUGGUAGUCCACGCCGUAAACGAUGGUUACUAGCUGUUCGGACUUCGGUUUGAGUGGCUAAGCGAAAGUGAUAAGUAACC